CCUACGGGUGGCAGCAGUGAGGAAUAUUGGUCAAUGGGCUAAGGCCUGAACCAGCCAAGUCGCGUGAGGGAAGACGGUCCUAUGGAUGGUAAACAUCUUUUGUCGGGGAGCAACGAGGCCACGUGUGGCCGAAGUGAGAGUACCCGAAGAAAAAGCAUCGGCUAACUCCGUGCCAGCAGCCGCGGUAAUACGAAGGUGGCGAGCGUUGUCCGGAUUUAUUGGGUUUAAAGGGUGCGUAGGCGGAUCAUUAAGUCAGCGGGAAAAUCGAGGGGCUCAACCCCUUUAAGCCGUUGAAACUGGUGAUCUUGAGUGGGCGAGAAGUAUGUGGAAUGCGUGGUGUAGCGGUGAAAUGCGUAGAGAUCACGAAGAAUUCCGAUUGCGAAGGCAGCAUCCCGGCGCCCGACUGACGCUGAGGCACGAAAGCGUGGGGAUCGAACAGGAUUAGAUACCCUUGUAGUC
Molecule: ribosomal RNA, 459 nt
Filed under: uncultured bacterium
Lineage: Bacteria
Description: partial 16S ribosomal RNA
Rfam family: Bacterial small subunit ribosomal RNA
Source: RNAcentral